UCACUUUCUCCCCUCUCUUCUCUGAUCCGUCGCUGUCCCCAUCAUCACAGCCAUCUCUCAUACCCAGCUCGUGCUCGUUCAUCGUCGUAUUUCUUGUAUCAUUUAAAAAAUCUUCAUUCUUUCACUUUGCAUCAAGAAAAAAAAUCAAAUUCAAUCUCGCAAGUCUCUCCUCUCCCAGCACUCGCCAUUGGUGGAUGGAGUAUUAACGUUACCUAAGGUAGCUGACGGAGAUAAAGACGUCGAAGUAUUGACAUCAGCUAAGCGACAGGAUCGAGCGAGCUUUUUCGGUGUGUUUAACACCUUUUCGAUGUUUUAUCGGUGUUCCAACGUGAAGAGAGAGCACCAACGUCCGACGUUGGUGUGGGUUUGACAGUAUUCUAAGCGGACCCUUCCAGCGUUUGUUUGGCUUCGAGGUUUGAACAGUUUGGCGGUAGAUUAGAGUGAUUUUCUGCGAUUUGGGAUGCACUAUAAGCAGCUGCCGAAGCCGAGCUUUCUCUUGCGCAAGUAAUUGUUGACAGUGCAGGGGUCAUCGUUCAAAAUGCAGAUUUGACAAUCUGUUACGAUGAGAGAGGAGCAAAAUAUGAACUCCCCAACUAUGUUUUAAGUGAGCCGACCAACUUAAUUCGUGACAGCUAAAGGAGAAUGAUUGAAGUCAUCAGAUUGAAAGCUAAGCGAUUGUGUAGAUAGUCAGGCGAUUGUUGAAGGUUGAAGACUGAGAAGACGUUUAGGAUUUCUUAUUUAAGUCUUGUAUUAGGAUCUUGUUUCAUGUACUAUUGUAGAAUGUAUAUA
This is a long non-coding RNA of Cucumis melo (muskmelon), 789 nucleotides long. RefSeq lists it as uncharacterized. The record is from RefSeq and is a predicted model, not a curated record. The transcript has 4 exons. Lineage: Eukaryota; Viridiplantae; Streptophyta; Magnoliopsida; Cucurbitales; Cucurbitaceae.